ACCAAAAACAUCAACAAUCUUGACGGCCAUACAUAUAUGUGCAAAAAUGCCAGGACUUUGGAACCUUAAAAUUUAAAUUCGGGAUCUAGAGACUGCGAAACAAUUCAUAGAAAGCUAUUGGAGCCCCAAUUUGGAAAAUUUAAACUAUUUCAACAUUUCUGGUAAAGAAACAUCACUAUUUAUGCCAAGACAAUCUUCUCUGACAAUCCGUCCAAGCAACGUCCAUUGUGAACAAGUAGAGAACAAAACAACGCAAAGACAAACGGAAUCAGUGGUAACAAAUGAAACGCACUACUCGUACUAGCCAAUCAUGAUGUUUUUCCAACAGUGCAAAGAUAACAAUGGUCAAUGGCUUGAAGCCAGGACUGCCGCAAAGAUUACAUUGUCCCCCAGACAUUGUGGUCUGAAGCGACCGCAAAAAUCGAAUAUCGACUGGGCUUCUGGCCACUAGGGUAAACCAAGGCAACAAACGUAACGUAAAAUAAUCAAAAGAUAAAAAUGCGAAAUACGAAAACAACACAGACCGCCGUUGCUGUCAAUGUUGGUCAAAAUUGUGCAAUUUCUUCUUGUCUUUUGGCAGUUUCUUUUUAUUCAGUCACUCAUUGUUUCUACUCGUGCCUUAUUUUAUUCGAUUUCAACCGAUGCAGCGCCAAAACCAAUUUUAAAACUCAUUAUCUUCGUUAAAAAGCGAA
This is a long non-coding RNA of Stomoxys calcitrans (stable fly), 692 nucleotides long. RefSeq lists it as uncharacterized. The transcript has 2 exons. The record is from RefSeq and is a predicted model, not a curated record. Lineage: Eukaryota; Metazoa; Arthropoda; Insecta; Diptera; Muscidae.